ACUGAAGAGCAACUUCAGCUAUUGAGGUAUCUAUCAGAAGUCUUACUCUCUAAAAAGCCUCUGUUACACCUCAAUGCAACCUCCUGGCAGGCCAGCCUUAAGCCCAGCAGUCCCACCAUGCAUCUAAGCUGCGUUCUCAUCAGACCCAACUUCAAUUAUAAACAACUGAGAUGAUGCCAGAGGCCAGAAUCCCUGAGAACCCAAUUUGCUGUCAUCACCAUGGCUGAAACAAGGCACUUGGCAUCUAGAAAAGCUGAUCUGUAGGAAAUUUCCAAUAGAGUUCAAUUUUUCUAAGUUUAAAGUGU
This 305-nucleotide long non-coding RNA is filed under the name Homo sapiens (human). RNAcentral describes it as "long non-coding RNA NONHSAT005736". Lineage: Eukaryota; Metazoa; Chordata; Mammalia; Primates; Hominidae. The record is from RNAcentral.